GACGAACCGUACGAACGUUAUUCGGAAUCACUGGGCUUAAAGGGUGCGUAGGCUGCGCAGCAAGUUGGGUGUGAAAUCCCUCGGCUUAACCGAGGAACUGCGCCCAAAACUGCUGUGCUCGAGGGAGACAGAGGUGAGCGGAACUUAGGGUGGAGCGGUGAAAUGCGUUGAUAUCCUAAGGAACACCGGUGGCGAAAGCGGCUCACUGGGUCUCUUCUGACGCUGAGGCACGAAAGCUAGGGGAGCGAAUGGG
Molecule: ribosomal RNA, 253 nt
Filed under: uncultured bacterium
Lineage: Bacteria
Description: partial 16S ribosomal RNA
Rfam family: Bacterial small subunit ribosomal RNA
Source: RNAcentral